RNAcentral lists this unclassified non-coding RNA (26 nucleotides) under Mus musculus (house mouse). RNAcentral's name for it is "oocyte_clustered_small_RNA5904". The record is from RNAcentral. Lineage: Eukaryota; Metazoa; Chordata; Mammalia; Rodentia; Muridae.
UGGAUCUUCUAGCCCAAAGGUCCAAA